CGCUGGCGGCGUGCUUAACACAUGCAAGUCGAACGAUGAUCCCAGCUUGCUGGGGGAUUAGUGGCGAACGGGUGAGUAACACGUGAGUAACCUGCCCUUAACUCUGGGAUAAGCCUGGGAAACUGGGUCUAAUACCGGAUAUGACUCCUCAUCGCAUGGUGGGGGGUGGAAAGCUUUAUUGUGGUUUUGGAUGGACUCGCGGCCUAUCAGCUUGUUGGUGAGGUAAUGGCUCACCAAGGCGACGACGGGUAGCCGGCCUGAGAGGGUGACCGGCCACACUGGGACUGAGACACGGCCCAGACUCCUACGGGAGGCAGCAGUGGGGAAUAUUGCACAAUGGGCGAAAGCCUGAUGCAGCGACGCCGCGUGAGGGAUGACGGCCUUCGGGUUGUAAACCUCUUUCAGUAGGGAAGAAGCGAAAGUGACGGUACCUGCAGAAGAAGCGCCGGCU
This 451-nucleotide ribosomal RNA is filed under the name uncultured bacterium. RNAcentral's name for it is "bacterial SSU rRNA". It matches the Rfam family "Bacterial small subunit ribosomal RNA", at positions 34 to 498 of the family's 1533-position model. The record is from RNAcentral.